GGAUGUGAGGGCGAUCUGGCCGAUCUGGCCAGCCAGGCAGGGGUUCCCUCCCUCCUGCGCUGCUACAGAAGCUGCAUGCUUGGUCGAAGAGGAUGACCACCCUGAUGGGGGAGACCGUGUCCUCUGUCAGGGAAUCUGAGUAGCUGCACUCCCCUGCUAGAACCAAACAAGCUCUCAAGGAAAGUGAGCCACAGCACUCACCAGAGGCAGAGCUGGGAUUUGAACCCCGGCCUCCUGGCUCUACACCCAUAGAUCUUACAACCUGACUGACUUUCUUU
Fukomys damarensis (Damara mole-rat) is the source of this 278-nucleotide unclassified non-coding RNA. Its record names the gene 7SK. It matches the Rfam family "7SK RNA". From Rfam's summary of the family: 7SK was discovered as an abundant small nuclear RNA in the mid-70s but a possible function has only recently been suggested. The record is from Ensembl. NCBI's taxonomy places the organism in Eukaryota, Metazoa, Chordata, Mammalia, Rodentia, Bathyergidae.